RNAcentral lists this long non-coding RNA (256 nucleotides) under Helianthus annuus (common sunflower). RNAcentral describes it as "sRNA HanXRQr2_Chr14g0622591". Lineage: Eukaryota; Viridiplantae; Streptophyta; Magnoliopsida; Asterales; Asteraceae. The record is from RNAcentral.
UGAAUACCUCACCACCCAGCCCACCAGAAGCAACAAUAUUGCUCUAAAUACCAAAAAAGAUUAGUAGCUGAACUAGGUUAGUUCCCCGUGUGUUACACGGGUUGAACAAUCUAAACUAUAUAAUAAAUAUUUCUUGUAAAUGCAAACCAAAGAUGGAGACGUUUAUAUACCAAAUUGACAUAAAUGGGUUAAUAUAAAGAUGAUAUAUUUGAGUGUGUUCCCUUUUCAUCAAACGAAUUUUAAAAUUUAUGGUUAG